UAUUGCACAAUGGAGGAAACUCUGAUGCAGCGACGCCGCGUGAAUGAUGAAGGCCUUCGGGUUGUAAAGUUCUGUCCUUGGUGAAGAUAAUGACGGUAACCGGAGAAGAAGCCCCGGCUAACUUCGUGCCAGCAGCCGCGGUAAUACGAAGGGGGCUAGCGUUGUUCGGAAUUACUGGGCGUAAAGCGCACGUAGGCGGAUCGGUCAGUUAGGGGUGAAAUCCCGGGGCUCAACCCCGGAACUGCCUUUAAUACUGCCGAUCUCGAGUCCGGAAGAGGUGAGUGGAAUUCCGAGUGUAGAGGUGAAAUUCGUAGAUAUUCGGAGGAACACCAGUGGCGAAGGCGGCUCACUGGUCCGGUACUGACGCUGAGGUGCGAAAGCGUGGGGAGC
RNAcentral lists this ribosomal RNA (390 nucleotides) under uncultured bacterium. Its description in RNAcentral is "bacterial SSU rRNA". It matches the Rfam family "Bacterial small subunit ribosomal RNA", at positions 362 to 769 of the family's 1533-position model. The record is from RNAcentral.